UCCUGCAUCCCCAGCUGCCGGAGCUCCCGCUGUGCGGAGGAGAAGCAUCUGAGGAGGGAAAGGGAACAAAAGAGCGAGAUCAGAAAGAGGCAUAAAAGAAGGAAAUGUGGAAGGAGCCCCGCAUUAUUUUAAAGAUCCCCGCGCUGCUGCUGUUAUCAUCAUCAUCCUCGUGCACUUGGCAGGUUGAAAGGUAUCUCAGAGCAGCAAGAACGCAGCAGUAAUUUAACAUCCCACAGCAGCGCUUUAAAAGCAUCAAAUAACAUUUUGAAUGUUAAGAAGUCAGUACAAGUGUAAAUAAACGGAAGCACUCCCACAUGUCUGUUGUUUUUAAACUCGCAAUGAUCCU
This 346-nucleotide long non-coding RNA is filed under the name Gallus gallus (chicken). Its description in RNAcentral is "long non-coding RNA NONGGAT008536". Lineage: Eukaryota; Metazoa; Chordata; Aves; Galliformes; Phasianidae. The record is from RNAcentral.